UGGGGAAUAUUGCACAAUGGGCGCAAGCCUGAUGCAGCCAUGCCGCGUGUAUGAAGAAGGCCUUCGGGUUGUAAAGUACUUUCAGCGGGGAGGAAGGUGUUGUGGUUAAUAACCUCAGCAAUUGACGUUACCCGCAGAAGAAGCACCGGCUAACUCCGUGCCAGCAGCCGCGGUAAUACGGAGGGUGCAAGCGUUAAUCGGAAUUACUGGGCGUAAAGCGCACGCAGGGGGUCUGUCAAGUCGGAUGUGAAAUCCCCGGGCUCAACCUGGGAACUGCAUCCGAAACUGGCAGGCUUGAGUCUUGUAGAGGGGGGUAGAAUUCCAGGUGUAGCGGUGAAAUGCGUAGAGAUCUGGAGGAAUACCGGUGGCGAAGGCGGCCCCCUGGACAAAGACUGACGCUCAGGUGCGAAAGCGUGGGGAGCAAACA
This 427-nucleotide ribosomal RNA is filed under the name uncultured bacterium. RNAcentral's name for it is "partial 16S ribosomal RNA". It matches the Rfam family "Bacterial small subunit ribosomal RNA", at positions 355 to 774 of the family's 1533-position model. The record is from RNAcentral.